This 378-nucleotide ribosomal RNA is filed under the name uncultured bacterium. Its description in RNAcentral is "bacterial SSU rRNA". It matches the Rfam family "Bacterial small subunit ribosomal RNA", at positions 524 to 898 of the family's 1533-position model. The record is from RNAcentral.
UACAGGGGGCGCGAGCGUUGCUCGGAAUCACUGGGCGUAAAGCGUACGCAGGCGGACCGUUAAGUCGGAUGUGAAAUCCCAGGGCUCAACCCUGGAAGUGCAUUCGAUACUGGCGGUCUCGAGUACGGGAGAGGAGAGCGGAAUUCCUGGUGUAGAGGUGAAAUUCGUAGAUAUCAGGAGGAACACCGGUGGCGAAAGCGGCUCUCUGGCCCGAUACUGACGCUCAUGUACGAAAGCGUGGGGAGCAAACAGGAUUAGAUACCCUGGUAGUCCACGCUGUAAACGAUGAGUGCUAGCUGCUGGGAAUCCUUUUCUUUUCUCAGUGGCGUAGCUAACGCGUUAAGCACUCCGCCUGGGAAGUACGGUCGCAAGACUAAA